CCAUGGACGUCUCCCAUUGUCCUGCCUCCUGCCCCAGCAUAAAAUUCCUCUACUUGUUUGAAGCUCUUCAGGAACUAAAACUUUAGGUCAGCAAACUAAGAUUACUUAGUGCUAAUCUGAAACAUUUUGUUUACAAUAAGAAAAAAACUGAGACGGUGAAGAGGUGAUCCUUAAAAAAAUAGAAUGAAAGUCCUCUUUGGUUCUUCUAAAGCAAUCACAUUCUGGAAAGGCAGAAUUGGUUACUUUUAUUAAAAUUUCUAAGUUCCACUGAGGUAAUUACUUUUUGUGUUAGGUAAAUCUCUAGAUAUAAAGUUUUCUUUGGCCUGUUGCUAACAAAAACUCUUUUAAAAUGUCUGAAAUCCAUUCUGAACUUCAUAAUAGAUUUUUGAUGCACUUUAUGUAAUUUAUUUUUAAAAUUAGAGUUGAUUUACAAUGUUCCUUCAAUUUCUGCUGUAUGCCAAAGUGACACAGUCAUACAGAUAUAUACACAUUCUUUUUUUCAUACCCUCUUCCAUCAUAUUCUAACCCAAGAGACUGGACACAGACUUUAUGUAAUUUAACUUCAACAAUUAAAAACUAAAAUUCUGAAUAUCUCUUAGAAUACAGGGCAGUGCCCACCAACAAGAAAAAAAUGCUCUCUAGGAUAUUUAGAAAUUUAUUUUGUUUCUCCCUUUCCAUACCCCUCCUUUUUUAAAAAAAAUCUUUAUUUACAGUUACUUGCAGAAGGGGAAGGCCCAAGUGACUUGCUUAUACCAUAUCAGCCCAUUCCCUGAUCACGGUUGAGUGGAUCAAAGGAAUAUCUGAUUCAGCCUGCCCAACUGAACACUUUCUCCCCCUCCAGAUUCCUUUGGAUUUAGGGUGUUAAAAGUGUGGAUCAGUUAGCUGUUGGCACUAGACUCAUAGGGUCAUACAGACUGGGAAGGUUGAGGCUGCUAUUUUUGAGAAGUCUUGUUGGGCAACAUAGAAGCUCCAGAAGCUGGGAUUUCGUGUCAUGGCUCAGCAGUAGUGAACCCGACUAGUAUACAUGAGGACACAGGUUCAAUCCCUGGGCUCACUCAAUGCAUUAAGGACCUGGUGUUGCCAUGAGCUGCUGUGUUAGGUCUCAGAUGUGGCUUGGAUCUGGGGGUGCUCGAGAGAGGAGGAGGCACCAAGCAGUUCUGGUUCUUGCCUUCCAUUCUUCUGUCCCUUCCAUCCUCCUUACUCCUGUUCUUAUCUAAGAGUGCCUUUCGUGUUUUACUCCUCUUUGGAGCUAGUGCGGGGUUUUUGUCCUUAGAACUAAAAGAUCCUUGACCAAAACAUACAACCCUUUCUGUAAUGCUAAAGAGUUUAGUUCAACUUCAGAAAAUGUUCAGUUUGGAACACAUGAGCCCACAGAUUCAGCUGGAAUCACAAAAGUCUAGAAGAGUCCACUUAUUCAUGGUUUUUGCUCUUUACAAAAUGAAAUAAUUUAUGAAUGUCUUUCCUUUCAAAUAAAGUAAAGGUAACCUCCCCAAAGUACAAAAAUAAAUUCUAGAGGAGGAAAUAUUAAUUUUUUGGUAUAGGUAUGAAAAUUCUCAAGUUCUGCCAAUUUUUAAAAAUGUUGCUUCCCUCUAGUUUUUUUUCCCAACAUAUCAUUUCAUUAUAUAAAGCACUAGCUCUCAAAUUUUCAAGAUUCAUAACAUCCUAUUACCAAAUACCUGUAUGUAUAAGCUUUAGACAUAGACAUACACACCUUUAGACAUCUGUGCUAAGUCUCCAACUCUACUCCAGAGCUUAAAAAUUUUUUGACAUAAUUUCAACUUUAGAGAAAAGCUGUUAAGAGAAAUAAUAAUUUUCUUUCCUGAACCAUUUAAGGAUGCAAACCAUGUAAGUGGGCUACCUGAUGCCCUUUCACCCCCACUUACUUUAAUGCAUGGUUACUACAAAUGAGGACAUCCCCUAUGUAUACACUAUUCAACCAAUAAAUCGGGAAAUUGAACACUGAUCCAUUUCUACCAUCUAGUCUACAGACUCCAUCCAAAUUGCAUCAAUUAUCCCAAGGUGCCCUCACAACAAAAGGAUCCAAUCCAGGAUCAGGUGCUGUGAUGGUCUCCUUCAACUGGGAGGAAUGCCUUCAUCUUUCCUUGAAUGUCACAACCUUGAUACUUUUUAAGAUUUCAGGCCAGAUAUUUGGAUAUCCAAACAAUCCUGAACUUGGAUUUGUCAGAGAGUCCCUCCUGAUUGUAUUUUUGGCAGGAAUAGCAUCAAAUAGCAUCUUUUCAUUGCAUCCUUUCAGAAGGUACAUGACUUCCAUCUGUCUCAUCACUAGACGUAUUCACUUUGUUCACAUGAGUAAGUCUGUGUCUGCCAGGCUCCUCGCCUAGAAAGUUUCUCCUUUUCUUUUGCAAUUUUAAAGUAUUUUAGAGAGAGGUAUUUUUAGACUGUAUAAAUAUCUUUCUAAUCAAAACUUAACCCACUAUUUAGUAUCCAUUGAAGUUUUUGGAUGAAUUGAUGAUUACUAUGAUGGUUGCCAAAGGAUAAUUUUUAAAAUUUCAUUAUUCCUUCUACAUUCAUUCGUUGGCAUUCUCGUGUAAAGAAAAGUUUUUGCAUUUUUCCAUUCAUUUAUUUAUGUGUGUAAGUAUGCAAGUGUGAAUUAAUGGAUUUCUCCUUUGUUCAAUGGAUGCCGUUGUUACCAUCAUUAUCAUUUUGAUUUGCAAGUUGUCCCAGAUUUGGUCAGUGAGAAUUGCUUUGGUUUGUCUUGUGUGUCCUUUCAACAUUGUCUCCAUCAUUCUUUGAGCAUUUCCUUACUUUUUGGCACAUUAAGUUCCAGGCUCAUAUUGAACAGCCUUAAAAAUAAGCCUUUCUCCAAGAAUCCUUGCUUCUUAUUAGUUAAAAAUUAUAUUUAAGAACUAAGAGCCAGGUUCUUUUUUUUUUUCUUUUUCUUUUUAAUGGCCUCACCCACAGCAUUCGGCAGUUCCAGGGCCAGGGAUCAAACCCAUGCCAUAGCUGUGACAACACUGGAUCCUUAACCUUCUGAGCCACCAGGGAAACUCCUAAAAACUAAGAGUUAGGUUCUUGAUGUGCUUGCUCUUAGGGCAUCAGGCUUGCAAGUCCUUUUAGGGGAAAUAGCUAGAUAACCUGUACACAGGUGUACACACACACCUACACACACCCCCCUGCACCCUACAUACAUGUAACAUUAUGCUUAUUUUUAUAUUGCUCUCUAUGUAUUGAAAACCAUGAGCUCACACUGAUACCUCCAGUUUCAAUCCAACAUCAUUGGGCUUGGUUUUUCCCCUUUCCUUACAAUGUUUUUUCUCUUUGUAAUUCUCAUCUCCAGUGGUAAGAAACCUGGUUCCCAUUGCCCUCAUUAUAUUUCCUGAUGAUAUUAAGCCCUCUUUAUGUAACUAAUCAUUGUCUCCCCUUGACCCCUAUGCAGAUGCCCUUCUUAUCUAGCUCAGGCUCUGACUGGGGUCACCACCAUUCCCCUACACAAAUGCUCUCUCUGUUCCUUCCUCGGGACUCAGUAUCCCAAGAUGAGCCACACGGCCACCACCCUCCCAGCAGGGACACCCUCCUUACCCCCCUUCAGGCCCAAACCUUAUGCUGAGCUGCACCCCUCCCUCCAACUCCUGUGCUUAAUCAGUCCCCCCCCCGCCCCCAUGGCUUUUGUUUUGAAUUAUUCUGGAGGAAAGAGAGGAAUGAAGGGUAGGUCACAGUUUUUAAGUUUCAGUGUACCUGCCUCACUUGAUGAUACAAAAAAGGGUUAUUAAUAAAUAAAUCACAACUUCUCUUUGACCUACAUUGCUCAUUGGGGAUUUAGUCUAAAAUUGGGCAUGUGGGUAAUAAGAGAUUUAAAGCCAUAAAAUAUUCUGUCAUAAGAACGAUGUCUAAAUAAAUCACAAGAAGUACAUUCUGUACUUUUGCAUUGCAGUGUUAACUAUUCUAUUAGAAACGAAGAUCCCCAGAGAGAAAUCUGUAUAUACUGAGAACUGAGAACUGCCCUUUAAAUUCAGCCUCUCUUUUAUUUCCUAUUGCAAAUAAGAACUGCUUUUUCAGACAUUAGUUGACUUGCCUAAAGGGGUUUAUCUCCUGGGAGGUCAUAUUAUUUAUUGAUUGAUCAUACACCAGUGACUGCUAAUGUAUUUCAUUAAUAACAUCUGCAGGCUCACUUGUCUUUUUAUUUUCUGAGGUGGCUGGUGGUUUUCUGGAAAAGCUGAGCCCACUUAUCAAGAAAACAAAAGAUUUUCUAAAAGCUGCAUUCAUAACUAGUAUUAGCAAACUAAACCUUACUUUUAGUGCAAUUAAACAGCUUGGUAUUGAAAGUUAAGACCCAAUUGACUCUAGCAAAGGGCUAAUCUUUUUGGGGGGGUAUGGGUGGGGCACUGAGCCACCAGGGAACUCUGAGAGUGCCUGUUUUCAUAUUUGAUGUCCCUGCAGAUUUUAAAUGACCUUCUCAUGGUCACAUGACUGUAUGGAAAAUCAUGUCUCAUUCACUCACUCAUUUGAGAGUAUUCAUUGAGCACUUUCAAUGUGCCAAUCCCAUGCUUGGUUCUAGGGACAGAGUGAUAGGCCAGAGACUCUGCCAUCAUGAAGCUCAUAGCUUAGCAAGGAAGUCAGUCAUACUAAACACAUGAUUCCAGUCACCAGUGGCAACUGGUUGGCUAAAGACAGGAUAGAGUGUUGGGGAGGUCCUCAGCCAGGCAGACAGCAGUCAGCUGGGUGCAGGGGGAGGGGCGGCUUCCAUACAGGGAAAGCAUCAUGUUUGUAACUGGUCACAAAAUUCAAUGACACUAUACUUAGAUACCCAGAGAAACUGUCAUUUCUUUAUUUUGCCUCUAACUCUCAUGGCCACUCCGUACACCCCU
This 4826-nucleotide long non-coding RNA is filed under the name Sus scrofa (pig). RNAcentral describes it as "lncRNA (ENSSSCG00030024096.1)". Lineage: Eukaryota; Metazoa; Chordata; Mammalia; Artiodactyla; Suidae. The record is from RNAcentral.